UAGAAUUCUGAUGAAAAGUGCAGUUGGAA
RNAcentral lists this non-coding RNA (29 nucleotides) under Mus musculus (house mouse). Lineage: Eukaryota; Metazoa; Chordata; Mammalia; Rodentia; Muridae. The record is from RNAcentral.